GGCCCUUAUAACUUGCUAGCUGCUUCAUGAAUUUUUUCCCUCAGCUCCUCCACAUGCUCCAAUGAAGUCUACCUCUGAUCUCGGAGAUGUUAAAUCAUCUGAGUGAUUUCACUUGACAAUGUACCAGCCACAGCGAUCUCAGAUUCCAACUUCUCUAGCUCUUGAGGCUUCUUCUCAUUGCUGGCUCCUCUGAGUCUUUAAUAGCGCAAUACGAGCUUGGAGGUUUGUUACUUCAUCUUCAAUGACCCUUAUCUCUUCUGAGAGCAACAAGUCAUCCUUCUUGAAAUUGGCCUGAUGAGAAACAAGAGAUGCCAUCCUCUUCUCAUACUUCUUCAUGAGAGCAUGGUUCUUGGCCAAAGUUUCCUCAGAAGAAACCAGGCGUGCUUCAUAGGAUGUUUGUGCUUCAGACUCACAUUGAAAGGCUUCAGUUCCUCAACCCUCAAGGUUUUGCAACAGUCCCUCGAACUGGUCGAAGGUUUCUUUGUCAUAAUGUAUGGCCCUUAGAACUGCUGCACAAACCUUGGUAGCUUCUAUCUCUACCUUAAGAUUAGAUAGAUCACACUCUUUUAUCCCUUCGAGGCCUAAUUGUAGCAUUCUCCUCACAAGGAGUGUCUUAGCAUCUGGUGUAGAUAGAGGAGGAAUUGACAGAAAAACUGUAAUGAGAGGAGGAGCUUCAGUAGCUGGCUCUCUAACAAUAAGAGCUAAAGGCUCAUUGAGAGGAGCAG
This 725-nucleotide long non-coding RNA is filed under the name Amborella trichopoda. Its description in RNAcentral is "long non-coding RNA (ATRI_LNC004871)". Lineage: Eukaryota; Viridiplantae; Streptophyta; Magnoliopsida; Amborellales; Amborellaceae. The record is from RNAcentral.